UGCUUCUCUUAGCGGUGGUCCAGUCGUUGGUCCGAUGGCCGGAGCUGGACUUCUCCGACGUCGAAAAUGCAUGUUAUGCUUGAUGUAUUUAUUUCAUUCAUUUUAUUAAUUUAUUGGUUUUGAUUGUAUGAUUAUUAUGAUUAUGAUUUUGGUUUUAUGCUCUUAUUAUUUAACCUUAUAUUUUAAAUUUUUUUAGACAUUUAAGGGGCGGGAAAAUUGGUUUUGUAAGGCUGUGUUCGGCCGAGAAAAGCGGGGAACGAUUUCAGAACUUCAGAGAGUUCGCAUUUAAGUUUGUGCAUGUCACGUGAGAAAGGGAGGUUCGAGGGUCUUCGGAGAAGAGGGUAUAUAAUGAAGGGUUGUCGGUUUGGAGAUUGUUGAUUUUUUGGAGGCCAUUUUUGAGAUCUCUAUGAGAAAGUUUGGAAGUGAGAGAGAAAACAGAGAGAGUUUGAGAGAAAAACUUUAGCAGAGAAGUGAAGAUUGAGAGUUCCGGCAGAAGUUGUCAUGCUAUAGAAUUCCAGGCCAUCAGAUUUUCUUGAUUUCUCUUCAGGUUCCAAUUUUUCUAAACUCCUCCCAUGUAUUUAUGAAAAUCAAGCCUAUGAUCUUCUCAUUUUAUUGUUCUUAUUUUUUGGUUUAGAUCGGUUUGCUUUAUAGAGUUUAUGAUUGUCUUUCGUUCAUCCAUUGUUGAUGUGUAUUGGCUUUAGUAUUGUUGGAAUUUGAGAUUGAAUUUUCCCGUAGACCUUGUAUCUGGUAUCUUGAAUUUUUGUGGAAUCCUAACCCAUUAUUUCUGAAUAUAUAUUGAUUUGGAUUAGACCAUUGGGAAGUUUUGAGGGUGUUUUGUCUGUUCGUUUUAUGAUCUAAUGCCUUGGAACUUUAAGAGAUCCUUUUCUUUCUAUAGUCUCUGUUCUUCUAUGAUGAAUUUCAUUAUUUCUUAUCUAGUGAUUUUUUUAGUAAUCAGAUGAGAUCAUUCUGAGGUUUUAUUAACUUUAUUCCCAUUUUUUUGUUUGGAUCUAUAUUGUUUUAAUUAGUUCGAAACAUCAAGGUGAAUUAUUUGUAGAUCCUGUUUUUUUAGUGUAUUCUGAAUACUCAUUUGUAAUUUUGAAAGAAACAUUAUUUUUGACGAAUUUUUAUUGAUCUAUCUUGAUGUGAUAAGUUAUGCAGUUUUGAACUAUUUCUUUUACUUUAAGUCAUUAAAAGCCUAUUUAGGCAUUUUUAGAAUCCAGGAUUGAGAAGUUCUCUUGAAGGUUUCCUUUGAUAUCCCGUAACAGUUUAAUUAGAUUGUAAUAUAGUUUUGUAAUUUUCUUUGAAUUCUUGUUAAUUCCAGGAGGCCUAAGGCAGUGAGAUUACAGUUUUUUUUUAAUUCCAAUUAAUCAAAUCAUUCUAUAAUUUUAUUUUUUGAUGAUUUUGGAUUAAUUGUUAAUAUGAUUAGAAUCCUUCUUCAUUGGAAUGGAUUUAUCAUUAUCUUGGAACUUUGGUUUAUAAUCUGUCUUGAAAUUUCUAUUUCAGAUCCCAUUUUCAUGAAUUAAUUCGACUCAAUUGAAAAAUUAGUUCUGGACAAAUUCAUAUUAACUUAAUGUAAUUGGAAAUUCAAAUUUUGUAAACAUGAUUCAUUUUUUAUUUGUUCUAAUUUUUUUAUGUUGGUUUGGUGUGAUUAAUAAUCUAGGUUCAGUGAAUGUGAAUUAAUUCAUUAUAAUUAGAAUAUUAGGAUCCUUCCUUAUUCAUAUCAAACCAAUAAAAUUAGAUAUUCAGAUUUUUGCUUUGAUUGAUUGUUCUUGUUAAUUCUGUCUUGAUCAAAUUCAAAUGAAGGUUUAAAUUCCUCCAUUAUCAGCCCAUGUUAAUUUAAUUACAGAAUAGAUCUAGAUUUAUCUCCCUUGUGUUGCAUUAAUACAUUCACUAAUUUGAGUCAAUUAGAUCAAAAAGGAAUUUCUAUUUAUUUGAAUUGAUUUGUCCAAAGUGAAACCUAUAUCAUAUUUUUACUAAUUUAGAACUAUCUAAUUAAAUUGAACUUUGAACUUGUCUUUCUUUUGAAAUAAUUAAAUAAGAUUUCUGUUCAUUUGAAUCAAUUUACCUUAAAUGGAGAUCAUAUCAUGUUUUCACUGAUGUAAGAUUGAUUUAAAGUGAGAUUUGAAUGCUAUUUAUCGGAAUAGUUUAGUUUAGUCUAAAAUUGAUUCUAUUGAUAUUUAUUAAUAGUUGUUGAUUAAUUGAUUCCAAAUUAUCUUUUAUUAUUUCUAUUUUCUUUUAUUCUUUCUGUUUCUUGGAUUUGAAAUUCUUUAGGAUGUUUGGGAAUUGGUUGUAUUAGUUAUGGAUUUUAUCAAUUAUGUAAGAUCAGAUGAUUAAUUCUAAUGUGGAUCAUAUACUUUGGAAAUGAUUAACUAUUGUAUUUGGAAUUCUGGUUCCUAAUGUAAGCCCUUCUUUCCUUUGAUUGUACAUCAGAUUAUUCAUAAUGAUCAGAUUCAAUUUGUUUAAAUGAUUGUCUAAUUAUGUAUCUAUUCCUUUGUAUUUUUUUAUUAUGAUGAAUUUUCAGUGAUGCUGAGACCUUUGGAUUAAUAUAAAAUAGUUGAAAUAAUGUGGAGUAAAUGAAUAAACCAUUGUUCAAAGGAUAAUGUUAGCUACAGAUAAUGUUAAGGAAGGACAUAGUAUCCUGAUUUUGUAGUUUGAACAAUAUGAAAGGAAUAAUCAGCACAGUUUUAAUUAGUUAAGUAGUUUAAAAUAAUUGAUAUAAUAGACCAAUUUUUCAAUGUAAGGGAUUGUUGGAAAAUGUUUUAAAUAUUUACUAAAGCAUCAUUUCAAUCAUAAUAACCCAUAAUUACUAAAUUCCAUUAAUUCUAAAAUCUAAUUGAGAAGAUAUAAAUUCUGUUUUUUUUUUUCCUUUAAAGCCCUUGGAUUAGCUACAUGAUGAUGGGCUUUCAAAUAAAAUUUAAUAUCUUUGAAAAAUCCGUUUUCCAUUAUAUUGCACAAGAUAUUUCUUUCAUUCCUAUUUUUUUAAACCAUUACUUUUUUAAGAAAUGAUUUUUUUUUUCUAUAUACCAAAUAAUCUAUUGUUUUAAAUCAUUUUAUAAUCAUUCAAAUUUUCCCUUUAAGACAAUCUAGUUUCUCUAGGCUACCAAACCUUUAUUCUUUAAAAGGAAGAGAAUGCUACCUAAUCGCAUAGGUAUAUUUAAAAAAAAUAAUUAAAAGGGAUAUGCAUGAGUCAAAUAUUCAUAACUCCAAUUAAUGGAUGUUUAUGGGUAAAUUCGUGAAAAAUGAAAUAGGACCGAACAUGCCCCAAUAUACCAAACGAAUUUUAAAAUGAAUUUGAUUUUCUUUGAUUUAUUUGAAUGAUGAAUUCUUAAACUAAAGCUUGAACCAGACACGGAAAUAUUUCAACUCUUCAUAAUAUUAGGAGACUUUUAAUUAAGGUGCAAUGUAGUUUUAAUCAAGCUAAAAUAAUCAGAAUUACGUAUUAAUUUCUAUAUAAUGUCUAACAUCAUCAAACAAAAUAAAUUUGAUAAAACUAUGGGAGGAUAAAACUUAAUGCAAGAAAUCGGCAAAUAAUCAGACAACUUCCAUUUUUGUGCUAGAGAAAUCAUUUCUUGUAGAACUUUCCAACUCUUAUCUACUAGCACCAAGUAGGCCUUUACUAGUUCCUCCUUGACCAUGAAAUGUACAGAAGCUGCAAGACAGCUUCCUUGUCUGGAAUGUUAAAAUGCGCAAGAGAAUCAUUUCUGUAGAACUUUCCGGCUCUUAUCUGCUAGCACCAAGUAGGCCUUUACUAGUUCCUCCUUGACCAUGAAAAGUACAGAAGCUGCAAAAACACUCUGUACUAUCUUUGUGCUCAUUCCCUUGUAAAAUCCUGGUAAUCCUUCAUAACGGAUCAUCUUAAUUAUUGCAUCAAAUGUACCUGUAAUAGAAAUCAUUCAAUUACCAUUUUGAUAACCAUAGAUAAGGUAUCAACUCACCUUUUAAAGCAUAAAGAGAAACAGUGUGCCCUCUCAGAGUUGAGCAUCUACUUCUGAAUGAAUGAUAAACUGGGAGAAAUAAAAGAUCAAACAGCAUUGAUACCAUUGAUUAUGAUCACUGACAAAAGCAGUAUGGCAAUGCAAGAAGAGAAAUCCAUGAAAUAGACAGAAAAAUCGAUGAACAAGAAAAAACAGCCCAGCAGCAUUACCACCAUUCCAGUCAACUGAGGUUCUAAAACCACAAUUUCUUUUCCGCUGUUACUGAUGCAGAUACAAAAUAAUAUUGCUUUUAUUUCACCACGAAUUCUUCCCACCUAAGAGAAUGAAGAGGGGGUUGAGUCCAACUAUAAGUUCCUAGUCUUAAUAUAGAAUAUGGAAGCCUUGAACCUGUCAGUUUCAAAAUUCAAAACCCUAGAAUUUAAAACUCUUAAGAGUCAAUAGCAAUGCAGAUGUGACUAAAUUAAAAAGUUUGCUCCAUCUAGAAGAAAAGGCCUUCUUAAUUUUAUAAUUUACAUGCUUUGGACCUACUAAAAAUCAGCUUGGUUUGAUGAUUUUCACUGUCCAAGUUUCAUUGAAAUUCUUGUUUGAUUGAAGAAGUUAAAAAAAUGUCAAAUUAAAUGCCCCACAUGGCAUUCCUGAUCAUUUCUUGAUGCAGGCAUAAAGAGAAAUGAUUAUUUACUCGCACAUAAUGGACCGAGCUUCAUUACAAACUGUUAAAAUUUGGCAUUCAAAGUUAGGGUUUUAAUUUAGGAAAGUAUUUUAGGAAUAAAAAAGGAGAGAUCAUUUAGGAUGAUUCAGUUUCCUAAUUUUAGGAGAGAAUCAAGCUAGAUUGAUAUUUUCUUAUUCAGUCAUUUGUGUAUAUAUAUGUGUAUGGUGUGUACCUAAAAAAUCAAUAAAGGAAUUCAGAAAUUCUUCACAAAGGGUAGAUAGAGAUGAUGUCAACCAAAAAUCCACAACUGAUGGCUAACCACAAAAUGGUUAAAUAAAGAAGAGAAAUGCAGUAUGAUUUGCAUCAUUCAGUAGCAAGCCAACUCCCAUAGACAGGCAAAGGAUAUUCGGUACCUCUGGGAAUCAAAGCUACAAGACUAGUCUUCUUUCUUCUCCUUCAAUCUGACGUACGAUGUUUUAAUAGACAACCCUAAUCAACUCCUCUAGAAAAUGCCUACACAUAAAGAACCAAGGAAAUUUUUGGUAGCACCUAGGAUAUUAAAAUAAUGCCUCUAGAGAAAGUGUGGUGUUGCUUGCUUUCCUUACUGUUUCCUCUCAUGGGUCUAAGGUCAAUUCAUUCAAUGAGAUCUGCUAGGGGAUUAGAUUUUAGUAUUUACACACGUGUGUGCACACCUGUCACUCUGUUCAGUCUGUCACUUAACUUCAUCAACGCCUUUCCUCACUCCACUCCCUCAAUUUGAUAUGAUACAUCCCUCAAGGGGGAGUUCACUUCUCUCAUCUCUCUGGAUGGGAGACCUAUCUUCUGAGCCCUUGGACUAGUAAAAUCCUCAGCAUCAGGUUAGUUCCUAAAUCUCUAUCCCCUAUGGGGAUAUCAUACCUAGAUAAUUAGUACUAAACUGAAGUUACGCUUCAAACACACCUAUGACAUUAGGAGACCACCUAGCUUACUACUUCCCUGUCUUGAAGGAGAGAUUCAAAUUUUCAAAAGAGAAAACAGAAGAACAAAAGAAAUGGAAGCCUCAUAGAUGUGUGUGCUACAUUCACAACACUAGGGGGCACCUGCACCACCUUUUAGCUUAGUGUGGCAAAGCUUAACCUGACAUUAGAGUUUGGCAUUGUUUGACUUUAGGACUCCAAACUAAGAUCUUUACCUGUGUAAGACUAAUCAGUGUUAUUUUACAAUUCAUCUUAAAGUGGUUCAGUCAAUAAAUAAAAUUUAUCUGAAAGCAAACCUGAGUAUCUUAAUGAGAUGUUCCCACCAAUCUCCUGCUUUGCUUGAAGCCUUGACUGCAUAGAGGAACAUAUUGAGAAAGUAAGUUAUUCAAAAUGCAGAAUGCCGCAAUUUUCCUAAAUACAUGGCCAUUCAAUAUGUCCACUGGAUGUAAAUAAGAAACAAUGUUUAGUCACCAAAUGCAGAGUAGGCUACAUGGCCAUGGUUUAUAUAGCUUGUGCGCUUAUGCAGUUACAGAUGCUACUCAGGAAGCUAGUUUUCUGAUUGACAAAAUCAAUGGAAAUACCUCAUAACAUCAAAAAUUCAUUUUUCUAACCUGUAUCCAAUAUUAUAAGAGAGAGAACUAGAAGUGUGAGGGUUGUAAUUUUAACCCUGAUGAGUAAAAUCUAGACCAUCUUUGUUAAGUCAAAUAACUAAUUAGCUAAUGUGUCCAUGUCUUAAUCAACUUUAGAUUAUGUCUUCAAACCUGGGCAUGGCAUGUUACAUGUAUAUUAAUACUUUGGCUGAGGAGAAAUGUUGAGACAUUGCAACGAAAAUGUGCUUCUUUAUUCAAGUGGUGCUAAUAACUCAACUUAAGAAUUGGAGACUUUUAUCAAAGGAGGAUGUGACUAAUCAAAGGUAGAAGAGUUCUCAUAAAUCAUUUAAUGAAAACCAUGUAAGGUACUCGAGUUUUGAACAGAAUAGUUCUAUCAAGUUCAGCUACUACAGGUAUUUCCAAAGAAUAAGAGUCUUUGAAUUACUAAAGCUCUAAAGAAGAUUACUGUAUGAAAGAAAUUAGAACCCGAAUGCUAGAACCCUGAUAAUUAGUUUUUCACUAGUGCAUUUAACAGGUUUUUAAAAGUUAACAGACAACUUGCACAUUAAGAGGGACAACUUCCCUCCCUUCAACCCAUCUAGGACUUCCAUUGGGAGCUCCUUUCAAGUCCUCUAGGGUAUGGGAUGGGGUGGAAGAGAGAUUUCGAAAAAGAUUAGCAUUGUGGAAGAGGCAGUAUCUUUCAAAAGGUGGAAGGUUGACCUUGGUGAAGAGCACUUUGUCCAAUCUAUCGAUUUACUUUAUGUCUUUCUUUGUCAUUCCAAGGAGAGUAGCCGCUAGAUUAGAGAAGAUUCAAAUAGACUUUUUGUGAGGAGGAAGUGCCUUAGAAUAGAAGCCACACUUGGUGAGAUGGGCUAUUGUUCGGUUGGACAAACAACAAGGAGGCUUGGGUAUCAAAGAUUUAACCAUCCUCAAUGAGGCUCUCUUAGGCAAGUGGUCUUGAAGAUUUGUAAGUGAAAGGGACCCUCUUUGGAAACGGGUGAUUGGAGGCAAGUAUGGGCAAGUUGAGGGGGGUUCGUGUUCUAAAGUUGUUAGGAAAGGGCAUGGUGUGGGGGUGUGGGGGUGCGAAAGGCUAUUAGAGGCAGAUGGGAGAUGUUCAAAACAAGAACUGGAUUUACAAUUGGGUUUGGAAACAGGGUGAAGUUCUUGAAGGACAAGUGGUGUGGGGAUUCAUCCUUGAGAGAGUCCUUUCCUGAGCUUUAUUCCAUAACCUCCUCUAAAGAUGCUUAGGUGAGUGACCUUUAGGAGGAUGGUGGUUGGAGUCCUAGGUUUAUGAGGCAACUGCAUGAUUAGGAGCUAGAGAAGGUGCAAGCCUUCUUGGGGAGAUUGUCAAUACACCCCUUGUCUGUGGAGACCGAUGAUGUCAUGGUAUGGUUGCCUACGAAGGAUGGUGCUUUCUCUGUGAAGUCCUUGUACUCCUCCUUGGUCGAUAUGAGAGUGGAACUGUUCCCCCAUGGUAUUGUUUGGAAUUCUUGGGUGCCCCUGAGAAUUAGCUUUUUUGCUUGGGAAGCAACUUGGGUCAAGAUUUUGACUCUAGAUCAACUCAAAAAGAGGGGUUGGAGGAUUCCUAAUAGAUGUUACUUGUGUAAGGAAGAAGAAGAAACUAGUGACCAUAUUCUCAUCCAUUGUUCGAAAGCUCGUUUGUUGUGACAGUUGAUCUUUGCACUUUUUGGCAUUCAGUGGAUGUUGAGUUUUUCAAUUAGAGAGGUUCUUCUGAGUUGGCAUGAGUCCUUUGUGGGUAAAAAGAGGAAGAAGGCUUGGAAAGCUGCUCCGUUGUGUAUGUUUUGGGCUUUAUGGCGGGAGAGAAAUAGGAGGACUUUUGACAACUUUGAAAGCAUGGAUCAAACAAUUAAAAAUUCUUUUUUGUAUCUAUUUUGGGAUUAGGUUAGAUUGUACAUUGAGGGCGGAUCUUUGUCAUUGUUAGACUUUGUGGAUUGGGUAGGCUCACGAUAGGGUGCGGUAACAGGUUUUUAUGUCUUUGCGCCUUUUUGUCCUUUUUUCUUUGUAUACGACGUGUAUACUUUCUUUCCUUUAAUACAAUUAUUAUUUACCUAUCACCAAAAAAAAAAAAAAAAGCCCUGUGAGUGAACUUUACCUUGACAACCAAUAAAGGGUACGUUGCAACAGUUGCUCCCAGUUUUGCCAAGGCCCCUAAUAAGAAAACCUGUUCACAAAAGAGUAGAAAAUGAGAGAGGGAAAGGGAAGUAGAUGUUCGGGGUGGUUUCCAAUUCCAAGAAGGCUACUGAGUUGAGCAUUGCUAAUUUAUAUAAGGACACCUGCUUUGGUAGGAAACCAUAUUGAAAAGAUAAAAUCAACCUUUUAUGACAUGAAAAACAUAGGGUUUAAUAUAGGUAAAUUUUGGUAUUUGAUGCCUCAUUUGAACAUCCCUGAUUUUGGCAGGCUACCGAGUUUAACAUCCCUAAUUUAGAUGAGGACACCCACUUUUGUAGGAAAGAACAUUGAAAGAUAAAUUUACCCUUUAUGGCAUAAGAAAAACAUGUCUUUAAUACAGGCAAAUUUUGAUUUCCAAUGGCUAGUUUAAAUUGGGUCGCCCAUCUAACAAUAACCAGAAUAGUUAAAGAAGCACAAGUUAUAGGCUGUCAACAUGAAGUAUCAUAUAGAUCAUAAUAAUUUUAAUUCCAGUAAAAUAUAACUAAUAAAAAUGAUUAUACAAAGUGCUCUCCAAUUUCACCAUCUCAAGGGUGUAUUUUACCUCCAAAGCAGUUACGGUUUUUAAUCCCUGCUUGUUCUCAGCACGUUUUGCCCUUAGAUGCUUUAAUGACGUCUCAUAAAUCAUAAACUGGAUGGAUGGAUUGCACACCUGGUAUGUAUUGACCUUCAGUAAUAGUUGCAGUAACUCAGACACUUUAUGUAAUAUUAAUUCAGUUACCAAAUAAGACUGACCAUAAUAAGUGUUGGGAUGAUGCCUUUCCAGAAUCCGGUAAUUCCUGCUUCUUUAUAAACUUCAUGUGCCUAUAGAUGAUGUAUAAACAUAUAACAGAAACAAAAGAUAAAUAUAUAUUUGGCAGUGACCACAGUAACAACAAUCUCAUUUUCAAUAAAUCAAGUAAUGAUGACAUAUCUUCAAUGCAGUAAAUAUAACCAUAUUCCCAUCAGUAAAUACUGUCAAUCUGUUCCACACCAAUGCACUACACCCAUUGGCGGUGUACUUCUGGAAAUAGAAACUCUUGGCAUUUGAAAUUCAAACAUAAAACAAGGAACCCCAUCACAGGAAAACCGAUUUAUACUUCAGAGAUUACUUUCUGAAAAAAGAAAAAAACAAACAAACAAACAAAAUCCAUGUCAUGUAAUUUUUAGGUCAUUGUCAAAAGGUACAAGGAUUUUGGACACCUUUUAUGUCAAAGAAUCUGGAUUCAGAGCAGGUAACAGUUUGUGACACCCGACACUCCUUGAGCUAUGGUAAACUAAAGCUCCCAUGCGGGUUAGCCAAGAGCUUCCAAUUAAUGAUUGAAGGUUAAAAGUCAAAUAAUUAAACAACAUGAUCACUUGUACUUUUGAAUCUGAAAACACAAGCAGAAGCAUCUUUAAAGAAGUUUGAUACUAAAAUGGGUAAAAAUUUUGCAUUGAAAAAGCAGAGAAAAAGGAGAAGCACUGACCACCAACAAUCCCACGGUAAAUGCAAGCAUGACCAACAAAAAGGAAAUAGAAAUAAUACCAACCGCAUGCAGUGUCCCAUAAGGAAGAGGUUUCAUUGCAUUAAGUUUAGCAAGUCCGUCUUGAAAAUUAGGAGAACCUAUCAAAUUUCUUUCACUAGCUUCCUUCAAUAGAGCUUCCUUCUUUGCCUCCAUGAUUUUUCUUUCUGCUUGAGUAUGCGUCUAAAAUCAAAUAAAGAACCUCAAUGUUGAAUCAUCAAUUGAAUUGUAAAGCAUGGACAAAUCUUUCAGUUGACAAAAUACAAUAACAUAUGAUAAAACAUUCAAAGAUCAUGGGCCCAUUCUGUUCUGAAAAAGGAAAUGAGUAUAUGCAUGCAAUUUCAACCAAACGCUCUUUCUCAUAUGCCAUCAUCUGCUGUUCAUGUUAUAAAAUUUGUGAAUGGGAAACACACCAAACCAGCAAUAUAUAAAAGUUCGAGUAAAGAUAUAUUUUUCCAUAAAUAGCAGGGUUAGAACACUGAAAAACAGAGCAUUUUAAAAGGAAUGUUUUCAAAGCCUGUAUACUCCAAAUCGGACAAACUCAGUGAGUCAAAGUAAUACAAGAUAAGCAUACGAUAUAUAAAACUAGCAAGUCUUCCUCCAUUGAAACAAAGGUGGAUAACUCCUACAAUUAUGUGGAUCUGAUCCUAACUUAAGUCUUUCCUUUAGGUAUACAAAAAAUAAACAAUAAUAUAAAUAGUUGUCAUGCAGCAUCAUCAAUGCUGAAUUCUUGAUUCUCAUGAAAAUUAGUUGACUAUUGAAGAUGCCACUUAGUAAAAUAGAAUCAGACUUUUGGAUAAAUACAUGUAGAAACCAAUUUACAGGUACCUAACUAGAAGCAUCAGAAAAUGUAACCAAAGUUACUGAAAUCACCUGCAUACGGGUCACAAGUACCCAUAUAGGGUUUGUCAGCAAUACAUUCAAGGACCUGCAAAAUAAUGCAUUUGCAGUAAGAUACUUGCUGGAAGAUUUGAAAAUUAUGUCCAGAUCUGAUUGGCUAUAAUCGGUUUGUGAAUAUUGUAAUCGAUUCAAAUGGUUGUAUAUUUGGUUUCUUUCCCCUAUUUCUUCCCUAGAAAUUUGGUUGUAAUUAGAUUUCCUGAUUUAGUCCUAAAUUAGCCAUAACCUAGUCAACUCUCUAUGUAUAUAACCAAUACUCACCCUUUUGGGAAUUAAUAUAGUAAAAAGCUUUAUAUCAAUCCCUUUUCCCUCCAGUUUAAAUCUGCCAUCCCCCUUUUAAUCUUAGAAAUUCUCAAUAAUGUCAUAAAUCUCUGAAAACUAUGCGUUCAAAACUUCAUGGAAAGCCCCAAUAUGGGAAUAAGGGAACUAGUACGAGAGGAGGAAAUCAGAAGGUGAAAAAUGGACAAACAAAUCAAAGAAUUGUUGUGGGAGAAUCCCAAUCAAUAGGAAUUCUCACUAAGAGUAAUAUAGAGAAACUAAAAAGGAUGUUGAAUCAGCUUGAAAUUCUUAAUCCAAGUUCUACACCAACUACGGGUUUUUGCUCUAUGGAUCAAUUAGGUAAUAUCCAUGCAAUGAAUGUUUCUAAGGAUUGUUUUUUCCAGCACCGUGAUCAUUGAUCCAAGUGCAACAAAUCAUACGACCCAUUUUGCAAAGUUAUUUUCUGCUUACUCUACAUGUUCUGGAGAACAAAAAAUAAAGAUUGUUAUCAGCAGAGGUUGCACAAGCUUUGGUGGUCAACACAAGUUCAGAUUUGUCUCAUCAACAAUUGACCAUUCAAAAAUUGAAUGGCAAAAACUACACUCAGUGGUCCCAGUCUGCAAUCAUCUCCAUCAAAGGUAGAGGAAAACUCGGGUAUAUUACUGGAAGUGUUAAGGAACCGAAGAAGGAAGAUGAGUCUCAAUACCAUACUUGGGAAACUGAUAAUUCCCUUGUGAUGGCAUGGCUCAUUAAUUCUAUGGAGCCCGUUAUUGCUCCUACCUUUCUCUUCCAUAGCACAGCAAAGGAGCUAUGGGAUGCCAUCAAGGAAUUCUACUUGGAUCUGGAGAACUCUGCAGAAGUUUUCGAACUCAAAUCCAAAUUAUGAGAUCUUUAGCAAGGUGACAUGGAGGUCACUCAAUAUUACAGCCGGUUAUCAAAGCUUUGGCAAGAACUUGAUAUGUUCGAUACUCUCAUGUGGAAGUGUGCAGACGAUGGCCUGCAGUAUCGGAAAACCAUUGAAAAAGAGAGAGCGUUCGAUUUUCUUGCAGGAUUGAAUAAAAGUCUGGAUGAUGUUUGUGGUCACUUGAUUAGCCAGAAGUUGUUCCCUUCCAUCCGAGAGAUCUUUGCCGAAGUCAGAAGAGAGGAAAGACAGAAGAGUUAUGCUAGGAGAUUCUGGAAAAUAGAACAAUACUCCAGUGGAGCCAGCAGCCUUGGCAGUCAAAAAUCCCGAUAAUGCUGGCAACCAGAGAUGGGAAGGGAAGCUAUGGUGUGUUUACAGCCAUCGUAUAAAUCAUACCAGAGAGAACUGCUGGAAGUUACACGGCAGACCUCCAAACUGGCGCACAAUAGGCAAUCCGAAAGAGUUCCACAAGUUGCAGCUGUGGCAAUCAGAUUGAGCAAUUGUUGAAAUUGCUUAAUCAAUCCCAAAACACGUCCAGUAAUAUUCCUUCCUGUACUAUUGCUCAAAAAGGUACCUUCGUCAAUGCAUUAAAUGCCAAGUCAUGUCACCCUUGGAUCAUUGAUCCAGGGGCAAUUGAUCACAUGACUGGAAAUUCCUCUUUGUUCGCAACUUACUCUCCAUGUCCAGGAAACUUUAAGGUUAAAAUUGCAGAUGGCUCAUAAUCUACUGUUGCAGGAAAAGGAUCAAUUAUUCUCUCAAAAAACAUAAUCCUUAAUUCUGUUUUACACGUGCCUAAUCUCUCUGGUAAUCUUCUAUCCAUAAGCAAAUUAACCCAAGACCUUAAUUGUAUAGCUAAAUUCUCCUUCUGUGUGUGAAUUUCAGGAUCCACAUUUAGGGAAGACGAUUGACAAUGCUAAGGAACAUGAGGGACUUUACAUGUUUGAAGAUGAAAUAUGUGUGGGCAAGCAAGAGUAGGCAGUUUAGAUGUUUUUAAUGCUAAGCAUGAUGAAAUAGUAUUAUGGCACCUUAGGUUAGGCCACACAAGUUUUCAGUACCUUAAACAUUUAUUUCCAUCUUUGUUUUCCAAUAAAAGUGUGGAUUCUUUUCAAUGUGAAAUCUGUCGAUUGGUCAAGCAUCACCAUGCACAUUUUCCUUCUCGUCCUUACACACCCUCUAAACCAUUCUCAUUGAUUCAUAGUGACUUGUUGGGACCUUCCAAAAUACCAACCAUGACAGGGAAAAAAUGGUUUGUUACUUUUAUAGAUGAUCAUACUAGAGUUUGUUGGGUCUAUUUGUUGUCAGAAAAAAGUAAAGCAGGAAAAACAUUUAAAGUCUUACAUUCAACGAUAAAAACACAAUGUCAAACAAAUAUCCAAGUGUUUUUUUUUUUUUUUUUUUUGAUAGGCAAAACAGAAACUAUAUUAAAGAAGGCCAAAAGGCCGCACCGCAUACAAAAGGUAUACUAAGCAGCCCCAAGGCCAAAAAAAACAAAAACAAGAACACCUCACCAGCCCUUAAGGGACCGCUACCCACUCCAAGAAGCCUAGAAGUGAAGAGGGCGAGAGUAUUUUAAUUCUCUAUUGAGUGGCUACUUCACUAAAAAAGUAAUUAUCCAUCAAAGUUCUUACCCUAAUACACCCCAACAGAACGGUAUUUCAAAAAGAAAAAAUCGUCAUUUACUUGAAACUGCUCAAUCCCUCAUAUUCACAACCAAUGUACCAAAACAAUUUUGGAGAGAUGCUAUCUUAGCAGCUACUUAUUUAAUUAGUCGUCUGCCAAGCCAAGUCUUAAAUUAUCAAACACGACUUGACCAUUUGCUCUAUGUUUUCCCUCACAUCCGAACACUCACUUCCAUACCGAAAACAGUCUUUGGUUGCACUGUUUUUGUCCAUAAUUAGUGUUAAUAAAAGUAAACUCGAUCCUAGGGUAAUUAAGUGUAUGUUUCUUGGAUACUCUCCCACUCAAAAAGGUUAUUGUUGUUAGAUCACCAAGAAAUUCUACACUUCUUUAGAUGUUACUUUCUUUGAAUCCCAACCUUAUUACUAAAAAUUCCUUCAGGAAGAGACAUCAAGUGAAGCUAAUUUUUAGGAAACACUUGUUCUCCAUCAGUCCAAAGUCUCACAAUCUGUUCCUCGGUCUGUUGUUCCUCAGUCCGAUGUCAAUAAGAGUCACAAUUCUCAUGUCCUUCCUGAUUCGGGUUCCCUAUUGUGUUCUCCCACACCAAAGUCCUCACAACAAUAUGUAAAUCAUCCUGGUUUUGAAAACUCUCAAACCCCCCUUACAAGUUUACACACGACGACAAUAUCAACAUCAUGAGGAGUUCCCAACCGAACCUAGCAACCAGGAAUCCGAACCAAAUGAGGAUGUGAAACAAGCACCUUCAUAAGGUACUCAUAUCUUCCAGGACUUGGAUGUUCCCAUUGCCCUUAGAAAAAGAAUUUGAUUGUGUACCUUGCAUUCUUUCUCCAAUUCUAUUUCCUAUGACAGAUUGUCUACUACACAUCAUGCAUUUAUAACCAACCUUUCCAGUGUAGAAAUUCCGAAUAAUGUUCAAGAAGCCUUGGCAUCUCCAAAUUGGAAGAAAGAAGUUUAUGAAGAGAUGAGGGCUUUGAAGAGUAAUGGAACAUGGGAAAUUACAAAGCUUUCAAGAGGAAAGAAGACUGUGGGUUGUAGGUGGAUCUUUACAGUGAAGUACAACUCUAAUGGGAUGAUUGAAAGAUACAAAACAAUGUUAGUCACCAAAGGGUUUACACAAACCUAUGGCAUAGACUACCAAGAGACUUUUGCUCCAAUUGCCAAGCUAAAUGUUGUUUGAGUUCUACCCUCUCUCACGACAAAUUUAAACUGGGCCCUUCAACAACUCAACGUGAAGAAUACAUUUCUCAACGGAGAUCUUAAAGAAAAGGUUUACAUGCACAUGUCUCCUGGAUUUGAAGAUCAAGAAGGAAAGAACAAGGUGUGUAAAUUGAAGAAAUCGCUUUAUGGGCUCAAAUAAUCCCCUAAUCAAUUUACCAAGUCUAUUAAGAGAUACGGCUACUCUCAAGCACAGUCAAAUCAUACAUUGUUUUUUUAAGCACAGUUUGAAGGGUAAAGUUUUUAUACUUACUGUAUACAUUGAUGAUAUCAUUUUAACCGGAGAUGACCUUAUAGAGAUAGAACAGUUGAAGAAAAUUCUAGUAGAAGAAUUUGAAAUCAAGGAUUUAGGAUCCUUGAAAUACUUUGUUGGCAUGGAAGUAGCUCGUUCAAAAAGGGGAUAUCGGUUUCUCAGAGAAAAUACAUUCUAGACCUUCUAAAAGAAACUGGCAUGGAAUGAUGUACACCAUCAGAAAGUUGCAAGCAACAAGGAGAAAACAAGUUGAUCGAGGCCAGUACCAAAGAUUAGUACAGAGGCUUAUUUAUCUGUCUCAUAUGACACUACCUUUGCUAUAAGUUUAGUCAGUCAAUUUAUGCAUGAUCCAUACAAGGAGCAUCUUGAAGCUAUUCAUAGAAUUUUGAGAUAUCUGAAACAAUCUCCUAGAAAAGGUUUGUUUUUUGAGAAGAAUGAGAAAAAGAAUAUCGAAGCCUUUGCAGACAUCAAUUGGGCUGGAUCCAUAGUAACUUGGAGGAACUUAUGUCUGGACUUGUGAACUUUGUUUGGAGGAACUUCUGGCUACUGCUCAUAUGUUUGGAAGAACUUAGAAACUUGGAGUAAGAAACAAGGAGUUGUCUCUAGGAGUACUGCAGAGGUUAAGUUUCAUUCAAUUACUAUUGGAACUUUUGAACUUUUGUGGUUGAAAUGAGUACUGGAAGAAUUAAGAAUUCAGUGGAGUGGUCUUAUGAAGCUCUACAGUGACAACAAAUCUGCCAUCAGCAUUGCACAUAAUCUGGUUCAGCAUGAUAGAACCAAACAUGUGGAAGUUGAUAGUCACUUUAUCAAGGAGAAGAUUGAAGAAAAGUUGUUGUGCAUGACCUUUAUUCCUAUUAGACAACAAAUGGCAAACAUUCUUACAAAGGGACUCCCAAGACUGGACUUCGAAAGAUUAUGUUGCAAGCUAGGAAUGAUUUUUUUUUUUCGAUAAGUAAACACAUAUAUUAGCAAAAGGCAAAGCGCCGCAUAGCAUACAGGGAGUAUACGAGGCGACGAAGACCUCUCAACAAAAAAACCAAAAGAAACAAAAAACCCACCAACCCUUAACUGGAGGCUAUCCACUCCAGGAAACCUAUAAGGGAAUGAGGCUCCGCACCAUUAUACAAUUUUACCCACCCCCACAAAUUACAAACAAAAGAAUUCUUAACUUUCUGUAUAGCUAACUCCCCCCCUCCCCCCUCCCCCCUGAAUGUUAAUCUAUUCCUCUCCUUCCAAACCGUCCAGAAAAUAAAUAACGGAAUAGAUCUCCAAAUUUUCUCCCUCCUUUUACCCACAAAAGAACCCUUCCAGCUGAUAACCGCCUCCUUUACAAUUUCUGGAAAGACCCACUGGGCUCCAAACAGACUAAGAACAAUCCCCCACAACACACUAGCCACUGUACAAUGAAUAAGAAGAUGAUUAACGUUUUCCUCAUCACUACCACAUAAAUAACAACGAUUAGGAAACUGUCAUCCUCUCUUUUGAAGCCUAUCAAGAGUAAGAACCCUCCCCCAAGUAGCUUCCCACGCUAAAAACGCUAGCUUGGAAGGAACGUUCUCCACCCAAAUGCCCUUUUUGGGAAACAAAGGGAUACUAUGGCUGAUCAUCAGCCCAUACGCAUCCUUAACGUCAAACUUCCCAUUUUUUCCUCCCUUCCACAAGGCCAAGUCCUCCUCCAAGGUAAUUCUUUGACUCCUUAGGACUUGAAGCAAUUCGUCUACCAUGUUCAGCUCCCAAUCAUUGAAGCCUCUAAUAAACCUUAGGUUCCAACCUCCUUGGCCAGAAUUCUGGUCCCAUAUAUCCCCCACAGUGGCACUCCUUUGGGCAGCCACAUUGAAGAGUUGAGGGAACCUUCGGGCCAGCUCCACAUCCCCACACCAAGGGUCCUUUCAAAACCUGAUUUUGGUGCCUUUUCCUACCUUAAAAAUCAUAUUGUCCCAGCACCAAUCAGCUUCUUUCAGAAUCUCCUUCCAAACCCCAACACCAAACGCCCCAUUUACCUUUUUAGUCUUCCACCCAAAUUCCUCUUGCCCAUAUUUUGCCACAAGGACACGUUUCCACAUCUCCUCCUUGGCAUGAGCAAAUCUCCACACCCAUUUUCCAAGUAGGGCUUUGUUCAAAGGGACUAACUUCCUCAAACCUAGCCCCCCCUUCUCCUUACCCACGCACACCCUCUCCCAAUUAACAAGGUGUGCUUUUCUUUCCGUACUUCCCCCUCCCCACAAAAAAUCUCUUUGCAACUUUUCUAGUCUUCUUGCCACAACCCUAGGCAUGCGGAAAAAGGACAGCUGAUAUAAUGGCAUGCUAGCCAAAGUACUCUUAAUAAGAGUGAUUCUACCACCCUUGGAGAUGUAUUGCCGCCUCCAAAGAGCUAAUUUCCACCUCAUCCUUUCUUCCACCCCAUCCCACACGCACAUGGCUUUAUUGGGUGCACCCAGAGGCAGCCCCGGGUAAGUUGAUGGCAGCUGACCUACCUUGCAGCCCAACUCCACAGCCAUCUCAAGGAUCUCAUCCACUUUCCCUACUGGAAUAAUUUCGCUUUUAGCCAAAUUAAUCCUCAGCCCUGAAGCGGCUUCAAACCAACAUAAGAUCCAGCUCAAAUAUGUCAUGUCAUCUUUCUUAGCCUCACAGAAAACUAUGGCAUCGUCCGCAAAGAGAAGGUGGGAAAUAUUCACAGCCUGCCCCUUACCCCUCCGGAUUCUGCACCCGGAGAUGCAGCCCCCUUCCACAGUCCUCCGAAUAAGGGCAUUCAGCACCUCCAUUCCCAUGAUAAACAAGUAUGGGGAUAGAGGGUCACCUUG
This 17764-nucleotide long non-coding RNA is filed under the name Vitis vinifera (wine grape). RNAcentral describes it as "long non-coding RNA (VVIN_LNC005854)". Lineage: Eukaryota; Viridiplantae; Streptophyta; Magnoliopsida; Vitales; Vitaceae. The record is from RNAcentral.